This 253-nucleotide ribosomal RNA is filed under the name uncultured bacterium. Its description in RNAcentral is "partial 16S ribosomal RNA". It matches the Rfam family "Bacterial small subunit ribosomal RNA", at positions 524 to 776 of the family's 1533-position model. The record is from RNAcentral.
UACGGAGGGCGCAAGCGUUGCUCGGAAUCACUGGGCGUAAAGCGAACGCAGGCGGACCUUUAAGUCGGGUGUGAAAUCCCGGGGCUCAACCCCGGACGUGCAUUCGAAACUGGAGGUCUUGAGUACGGGAGAGGGAAGUGGAAUUCCUGGUGUAGAGGUGAAAUUCGUAGAUAUCAGGAGGAACACCGGUGGCGAAAGCGGCUUCCUGGCCCGAUACUGACGCUCAUGUUCGAAAGCGUGGGGAGCAAACAGG